AAAGGCCCCACUGGAGCCCACUCAGUUCUGCUGCUAAACAAUGUGUCAUCUCAGCAUAGAGUUCUCAGACUGUGCUGUGUCUUGCUCCAAAGUCGCCACAGGAGGGAAGCCAGGUGCAAUUAGUACUCUUGCAGAGUCCUGGCUGCUUGAAAAUGGGCUCUUUGCAUAAGAAAUGAAAAAUGCCUUAUUAUCGGUGGAUGCCUUAUUAUCGGGGAGGUCUUAUUAUCGGGGGGAUGCCUUAUAUUACAACGAGAGGCAAAACUGACCGGAUAUCAUUCUUCUUGGUGAAGACUAUACCUCACAAGGAAUCUUGGUUCCAGAGUGUUUUAAAUUUCUUGUAAAAAAAUAAAUGUAUUGUCAAAGGGGCACAAAAAAAAUUGAGACACGUGA
Malaclemys terrapin pileata is the source of this 390-nucleotide long non-coding RNA. RefSeq lists it as uncharacterized. The transcript has 3 exons. The record is from RefSeq and is a predicted model, not a curated record. NCBI's taxonomy places the organism in Eukaryota, Metazoa, Chordata, Testudines, Emydidae.